RNAcentral lists this unclassified non-coding RNA (995 nucleotides) under Primulina sp. MK-2017d. RNAcentral describes it as "partial 166FR". Lineage: Eukaryota; Viridiplantae; Streptophyta; Magnoliopsida; Lamiales; Gesneriaceae. The record is from RNAcentral.
UUUCUUCUCUAUUACACUAUAUCAUUUUAUGCUGGUAGUUUACCAUCUUGGUCAUUUCAUAUAUGCCGUUAUUUGUAAGCAUUUAUCUUGCUGUGGAUUGAGGGUUCGGGCUAGAAUUUAAUUUGGUGGCUUCUGACCUGUUACUUCUCCUGUUAUGUUUAACUUUGAAAUGCUUUCAAACAAUUUGGCUUGUGAGCUAUAAAUUAAUCUGACUUUUUUCGUUCUGGGUCUGAUUACUGAGCCGGGAGGGAAAAUAAAGAAAGAAUCUCAGCACCGAUUAAGCUCAUUUUUACUACUGCUUCCGUUGGUACAGCCAGAGAGGAACUUAAACAUUGUCUCCCGAUCUAUCGUUUCAAGAUGGAAUUGAACUGCUAGGACAAUUUGAAUGAUUACGUUCAUCAUUCAAAUGGUAAAAUUCCAUUGCAAAAUGCAGAGCCUAAUUCUAGAAUGCUCUACUUAAUAUUUUCCAAUAAAUGUUGUAUUUGAAAUUUUAGAUUUGAUUAAAAAUAAGGAGUAACCACCACCCUCUUGUUAGAGUUUAAAUGUGAGGUGUGAGAAAGUGGUAUAAAAUUGUGGAAUAAAACUGUUGUGUGGAUAAAUGGUGCAUAAGAUCAUGUGAGGUGCUUGCUUUAGCGGUAUUAUGCUGCAAAUUUAUUGUAUUUGAUAACUUGUAUCAUUGAAUCAGCAUGUUCAAGCUAAUGCUCAUUACGAGCGAAUGUUCACUUCUCUCAUUUAAUGUGGAAUUAGGGUUUAAAAAUAGAAUGAAAUAUCUUUAGUUUUUCUAAGUGGUAAUUUGGGCUUGGGUGCAGGUGAGUUUGAGCGAGUAGCAGGACACACAUCAAAAGUAAAAGUGCACACAUAUGGCACACAGUUUGUUAUUACUGGAUUCAACUAUUUGUUUUUGUGCCACUGGUGCUGAAAUUUGCAUAUUUUGUUAUGUAUAAAGGUACAGGUGAUUUGGGCGAGCGACCCAGUUUCACAAUGGAGGGGAGGAG